Molecule: ribosomal RNA, 222 nt
Filed under: uncultured bacterium
Lineage: Bacteria
Description: partial 16S ribosomal RNA
Rfam family: Bacterial small subunit ribosomal RNA
Source: RNAcentral
AGUAAUGUAUGGGGAUCUGCCUGAUGGCGGGGGGUAACUACUGGAAACGGUAGCUAAUACCGCAUAAUGUCUGCGGACCAAAGCGGGGGACCUCCGGGCCUCGCGCCAUCAGAUGAACCCAGAUGGGAUUAGCUAGUAGGUGAGGUAACGGCUUACCUAGGCGACGAUCCCUAGCUGGUCUGAGAGGAUGAUCAGCCACACUGGGACUGAGACACGGCCCAG